Transfer RNA from Hydrogenophaga sp. H7, 73 nucleotides. It matches the Rfam family "tRNA". Rfam says of the family: Transfer RNA (tRNA) molecules are approximately 80 nucleotides in length. Their secondary structure includes four short double-helical elements and three loops (D, anti-codon, and T loops). The record is from Rfam. NCBI's taxonomy places the organism in Bacteria, Pseudomonadati, Pseudomonadota, Betaproteobacteria, Burkholderiales, Comamonadaceae.
GCGGCUGUAGCUCAGUGGAUAGAGUAUUGGCCUCCGAAGCCAAGGGUCGUGGGUUCGAUCCCCGCCAGCCGCG